This 477-nucleotide ribosomal RNA is filed under the name Clostridioides difficile. RNAcentral describes it as "partial 23S ribosomal RNA". It matches the Rfam family "Bacterial large subunit ribosomal RNA", at positions 1 to 479 of the family's 2925-position model. Lineage: Bacteria; Bacillati; Bacillota; Clostridia; Peptostreptococcales; Peptostreptococcaceae. The record is from RNAcentral.
UGGUCAAGUUAUUAAGGGUGCAGGGCGGAUGCCUUGGCACUAGGAGCCGAUGAAGGACGUGAUAAGCUGCGAUAAGCUUCGGGGAGUUGCACGUAAACUUUGAUCCGAAGAUUUCCGAAUGAGGAAACUCACUUAGAGUAAUGUCUAAGUAUCAUUAAGUGAAUACAUAGCUUAAUGAGGGGAACUCAGGGAACUGAAACAUCUAAGUACCUGAAGGAAGAGAAAGAAAUUCGAUUCCGUAAGUAGCGGCGAGCGAACGCGGAUUAGCCCAAACCAAUAAAGUUUUCUUUAUUGGGGUUGCGGACAUAUCAUAACGAAGAGGUAUCGUAAUUGAAGAGGUUUGGAAAGACCCACCACAGAAGGUAAUAGUCCUGUAUGUUAAACGAGAAGACUUUAGAUAUGAUCCAGAGUACCACGGGACACGUGAAACCCUGUGGGAAGCAGGAGGGACCAUCCUCCAAGGCUAAAUACUACCUA